GGGGCACCGCGGCGCCGGACACUCCCUAACAACCGCGUUCCGUUACUAUGCGGAAGUGCAGCCGCUCAACCGCCGGAUUUCAUUCGUGACCCUUGUCCAGAGUGAGGGGGAGACACCAAAGCAACACUGCUAAACAGAGUGGCCAAAACUCUGCUUCGUGGGUUCGAGUAGGACUGUGAACCAGAGAGGUCUCAAGGCAACCAAGGCCUUGCUUUGGGGGAAUCUGAGACAUACCAGAGGGCUGAGAAGAACAGACAAGGAGAGGAGAAGCCAUCUAAAAAACUGGUUAAUCAAGAAGUAUGCUGUGAAAUUUGCUAUGGCUUGUUGGUGAUGGAAUUACUAGACCUGUCUGUGCCACAGGAUUCCAUGUGAAAAAUAAGCCAGAAAAUUGAGGAGGGGUAUGACAGGGACCAGCAACCAUGCUACAUGAAAGCCAAGGAGCUGUGGCAGGCACAUCAGAAGGCCAGGGAGGCCAACAAUCAAUCCAGUGCUGAGCUGCAGACCUGCCACUUUUACAAAGAGCUGCAUGCUAUACUCAGCAGAGACCCUACCACCACCCCCAACAGCACUGAGGAAAACUCUGAGGACUCUGAGUCACAGGCCCCUACUGUGAACAGCGAGGAGGAAGAGGUGGUGGACGAGGAAGAGGAGAAAAAGUAUGGGGGACAUCCAGCUGUGCAGUGGGCCAGGACUUGCUUUGACUCCACUGCAAUCCAGCUAGUCCUGCCAGUUGAGCAUGAGCAAGCCUGCUGCCUGAUGCAGGGGAAAGAACGUUGGCUAAAUGUGUAGAUAAAUUUUCAAUUACAGGGAUGUCCAUCCCAAAAAUAGCAGGACAUAUCUUUUGAAUUUUCAUUAAUUUAAUUGUGCUAGAAGAUGUAGUAUUACAAUCAAGAGAGGUAGAAUCGCUAACUCUAUUGUUAGUUGCAAUUAGCAGGGGCCCAUUCUGGUUAGCUUAAUUGGUGCAAACCCUAGAUUGGCCAUGUCUACACUAAGAAAAAUAGGAAUGAUUUUCCAAUGUGUUAGCUACCAACAUGCUGUAAAAUCCUAGUGUUACUGCUGCUGCUGUGAUAGGUGGGUCUCUCUUGACCAGAGUGGGCAAACUAUGGCCCACGGGCCACAUCUGGCCCUCCAGAUGAUUUAAUCCGGCCCUCGAGCUCCUGCUAUGGAGCAGGGUCUGAGGCUUGCCCUGCUUCUGCUCCCCAGCCAGAGAACGGGGUCAGAGGCUGCUCUGCUUACA
Mauremys mutica (yellowpond turtle) is the source of this 1237-nucleotide long non-coding RNA. RefSeq lists it as uncharacterized. NCBI's taxonomy places the organism in Eukaryota, Metazoa, Chordata, Testudines, Geoemydidae. The transcript is spliced from 4 exons. The record is from RefSeq and is a predicted model, not a curated record.